This 197-nucleotide ribosomal RNA is filed under the name uncultured Rhodocyclaceae bacterium. RNAcentral describes it as "partial 16S ribosomal RNA". It matches the Rfam family "Bacterial small subunit ribosomal RNA", at positions 1187 to 1382 of the family's 1533-position model. The record is from RNAcentral. Lineage: Bacteria; Pseudomonadati; Pseudomonadota; Betaproteobacteria; Rhodocyclales; Rhodocyclaceae.
AAGUCCUCAUGGCCCUUAUGGUAGGGCUUCACACGUCAUACAAUGGUCGGUACAGAGGGUUGCCAACCCGCGAGGGGGAGGCUAAUCCCACAAAGCCGAUCGUAGUCCGGAUCGCAGUCUGCAACUCGACUGCGUGAAGUCGGAAUCGCUAGUAAUCGUGGAUCAGCAUGUCACGGUGAAUACGUUCCCGGGUCCUU